Molecule: ribosomal RNA, 443 nt
Filed under: uncultured bacterium
Lineage: Bacteria
Description: partial 16S ribosomal RNA
Rfam family: Bacterial small subunit ribosomal RNA
Source: RNAcentral
CCUACGGGUGGCAGCAGUGGGGAAUAUUGCACAAUGGGGGAAACCCUGAUGCAGCGACGCCGCGUGAGUGAAGAAGUAUUUCGGUACGUAAAGCUCUGUCAGCAGGGAAGAAAGAAAUGACGGUACCUGACCAAGAAGCCCCGGCUAACUACGUGCCAGCAGCCGCGGUAAUACGUAGGGGGCAAGCGUUAUCCGGAAUUACUGGGUGGAAAGGGAGCGUAGACGGUUAAGUAAGUCUGGAGUGAAAGGCCGGGGCCCAACCCCGGGACUGCUCUGGAAACUAUUGAACUUGAGUGCAGGAGAGGUAAGCGGAAUUCCUAGUGUAGCGGUGAAAUGCGUAGAUAUUAGGAGGAACACCAGUGGCGAAGGCGGCUUACUGGACUGUAACUGACGUUGAGGCUCGAAAGCGUGGGGAGCAAACAGGAUUUGAUACCCUAGUAGUC